This 492-nucleotide ribosomal RNA is filed under the name uncultured bacterium. RNAcentral describes it as "partial 16S ribosomal RNA". It matches the Rfam family "Bacterial small subunit ribosomal RNA", at positions 29 to 507 of the family's 1533-position model. The record is from RNAcentral.
AGUGAACGCUGGCGGUAGGCCUAACACAUGCAAGUCGAACGGCAGCACAGUAAGAGCUUGCUCUUACGGGUGGCGGGUGGCGGACGGGUGAGGAAUACAUCGGAAUCUACUUUUUCGUGGGGGAUAACGUAGGGAAACUUACGCUAAUACCGCAUACGACCUACGGGUGAAAGCAGGGGAUCUUCGGACCUUGCGCGAUUGAAUGAGUCGAUGUCGGAUUAGCUAGUUGGCGGGGUAAAGGCCCACCAAGGCGACGAUCCGUAGCUGGUCUGAGAGGAUGAUCAGCCACACUGGAACUGAGACACGGUCCAGACUCCUACGGGAGGCAGCAGUGGGGAAUAUUGGACAAUGGGCGCAAGCCUGAUCCAGCCAUACCGCGUGGGUGAAGAAGGCCUUCGGGUUGUAAAGCCCUUUUGUUGGGAAAGAAAAGCAGCAGGUUAAUACCCCGCUGUUCUGACGGUACCCAAAGAAUAAGCACCGGCUAACUUCGUG